AGUAAUUAAAAAUAUUUAGAUGAUCUCUCACGAAGGCUAGUGAGCUAAACAAGUAUAUAAAUAAGAAAAUAUACGUGGUAUAGUAUAUAUAUAAUAUUUGUUUAGGGGUGAUAGGCUUUUCAAACUGUUCGAUAUCUUGAUUCAUAUGAAAAGUAUUUAGUACAUAUACAUAUUUAAAAAGCUAAGCUUUUAAGUGUAAAUUAAUAAUAUUUCUAACUUGUAACAUAGUAUAAUGGCUUGUUAUUAGAAAUCCAAAUAUCCAUGAUUGAUUUUUAUUAUAAGUAUUAUGACAAUUUAUUCUUAACAAUAAUUGGAGAAUGUUACUAUUAGUAGUUAUUGCAAAUAUAUUUAAGGAACUCGGCAAAUAGCCUCUCAACUGUUUAUCAAAAACAUAGCUAUAUGCACUAAUAUAUAGUUAUUUCUGCUCCAUGAUUAUUAAAUAGCCGCAGUACUUUGACUGUGCAAAGGUAGCAUAAUCAGUUGGCUUUUAAUUGGAGUCUGGUAUGAACGAAAACAUGGGUGGCGACUGUCUAAAUAUAUUUUUUCUAACUUUUUAAUCAAGUGAAAAUACUUGUGCUAAUAAAAAAGACGAGAAGACCCUAGAAACUUGAAAAGUUUUUUGUUGGGGCGACAGAGUUACAUAUAACUAAUUUUAUAGAGCAUGACAUUAAUUAGAAAGGAUAAGUUACUCUAGGGAUAACAGCAUAAUUUUAAUAGUUUGUGACCUCGAUGUUGGAUUAGGUACUAUACCCUUUAGGCAAGGGUAUAAGACGCUCUGUUCGAGCAAAUAUACCUACAUGAUCUGAGUUCAGACCGG
This 817-nucleotide ribosomal RNA is filed under the name Helix lucorum. RNAcentral describes it as "partial large subunit ribosomal RNA". The record is from RNAcentral. Lineage: Eukaryota; Metazoa; Mollusca; Gastropoda; Stylommatophora; Helicidae.